UCUAUGGGCAGCUGCCACCACUACCAGAGUCUUCCUUGCAAUGCGAGCUUCUUGCAUCAUGACUUCUAGAUUCCAAGUAUGCAAAGCAAACGCUCGUACCCUGACUCCAUCUGGGAUUUGGAAUGCACUCAGGGAAGUGGCUGUGCAUGGAGACUAGAAAUGGAAGAGGCUUCCAAGGUCAUGCCUUUCAGGCUCCCUUCAAAUUCUACAGCUACUGUGAAGAGAGUUGCAUUCCCACAGAGAACAUGUCAGACUGGAGGAAAAUUGUGACAAAAGGUCUCCCCAAAGAUCGAGGAAAGGAGGUUUGCCUGAAAAGGAGCCAGAGUGGUUCCGCCCAGACUGACGUGCUUCUGGCAGCCGAUGGCAAAUGCCCAAGAGCGCAAACCGGACCAUGCAAGUGCCAUGAAGCCUC
RNAcentral lists this long non-coding RNA (412 nucleotides) under Homo sapiens (human). RNAcentral describes it as "HSALNT0368841". The record is from RNAcentral. Lineage: Eukaryota; Metazoa; Chordata; Mammalia; Primates; Hominidae.